RNAcentral lists this long non-coding RNA (346 nucleotides) under Populus tremula. Its description in RNAcentral is "long non-coding RNA (PTRE_LNC003438)". The record is from RNAcentral. Lineage: Eukaryota; Viridiplantae; Streptophyta; Magnoliopsida; Malpighiales; Salicaceae.
GCCGGACAGUCUUGGUCUUUUAUCGUCACUGGAAGUGUUAGAUCUAAGUGGAAACAAUUUUCAGACUAUACCUAUAAGCAUCAAUAAACUCUUUGAGUUGCAAUAUCUUGGAUUAAGGAAUUGCAAGAGACUUGAAUCAAUACCGGACCUUCCACCACGGCUAUCAAAGUUGGAUGUAGACAAUUGCAGGAGUUUGCAUUAUCUAGUAUCAAGCUCAUCAACUGUAGUUGAGGGGAACAUUUUUGAAUUCAUUUUCACUAAUUGCUUGGGGUUGCGUGGGAUCAAUCAAAUCUUGGCGUACUCAUUAUUAAAAUUUCAACGUUAUACCAUCAGGUUAUACCAUCAG